UGACCUACGGGGGGCUGCAAGCGUUGUUCGGAAUCAUUGGGCGUAAAGCGCGCGCAGGCGGCUUGGUAAGUCAGAUGUGAAAUCCCUGGGCUUAACCCAGGAAGUGCAUUUGAUACUGCCUCGCUAGAGUACGGGAGAGGAAAGUGGAAUUCCUGGUGUAGAGGUGAAAUUCGUAGAUAUCAGGAGGAACACCGGUGGCGAAGGCGACUUUCUGGCCCGAUACUGACGCUCAGGCGCGAAAGCGUGGGGAGCAAACAGGAUUAGAUACCCGAGUAGUC
RNAcentral lists this ribosomal RNA (278 nucleotides) under uncultured Syntrophaceae bacterium. RNAcentral's name for it is "partial 16S ribosomal RNA". It matches the Rfam family "Bacterial small subunit ribosomal RNA", at positions 519 to 795 of the family's 1533-position model. The record is from RNAcentral. Lineage: Bacteria; Pseudomonadati; Thermodesulfobacteriota; Syntrophia; Syntrophales; Syntrophaceae.